AAGUCGUAACAAGGUUUCCGUAGGUGAACCUGCGGAAGGAUCAUUAACACUUUCAUUUUAUUGAAAAUUUAUUUUUCAAUAAUUUACUUACCCACAUUUUUGGAUGAAUUAUUUCUUUUUUAUUCUUUUUUAAAUUUUAUACCCAAAUACCAUAUUAUUUCUAACAUUUAUACACAAAAAGUUUAAGAAAAACAUAAAAAACAACUCUUAACAACGGAUAUCUAGGCUCUC
Molecule: unclassified non-coding RNA, 231 nt
Filed under: fungal sp.
Lineage: Eukaryota; Fungi
Description: partial internal transcribed spacer region
Rfam family: Eukaryotic small subunit ribosomal RNA (bases 1-46)
Source: RNAcentral